RNAcentral lists this ribosomal RNA (253 nucleotides) under uncultured bacterium. RNAcentral describes it as "partial 16S ribosomal RNA". It matches the Rfam family "Bacterial small subunit ribosomal RNA", at positions 524 to 776 of the family's 1533-position model. The record is from RNAcentral.
UACGGAGGGUGCAAGCGUUAUCCGGAUUCACUGGGUUUAAAGGGUGCGUAGGUGGGUUGGUAAGUCAGUGGUGAAAUCCCCGAGCUUAACUUGGGAACUGCCAUUGAUACUAUUAAUCUUGAAUACCGUGGAGGUUAGCGGAAUAUGUCAUGUAGCGGUGAAAUGCUUAGAUAUGACAUAGAACACCAACUGCGAAGGCAGCUGGCUACACGAAUAUUGACACUGAUGCACGAAAGCGUGGGGAUCAAACAGG